Long non-coding RNA from Xenia sp. Carnegie-2017, 990 nucleotides. RefSeq lists it as uncharacterized. The record is from RefSeq and is a predicted model, not a curated record. The transcript is spliced from 2 exons. NCBI's taxonomy places the organism in Eukaryota, Metazoa, Cnidaria, Anthozoa, Malacalcyonacea, Xeniidae.
ACCCCCUUCUGAGUGUAACAUGUAUGCGAAUGUUUUGGACAGGUUUCUGCAGGAAGUUACUUCGCCAUUCUUCUGUUGACGUCAACAAACGCAUUCUUUGGGUACAAUAAAUUAGCCUCGCCAUUGUCAAACUUAUAGUCUGCCUGCAGACUGUGGAAUCUACGUUUUUAAUGUAAAUAUCUUGCUGGCAUUUUCAAAACACACAUAAGAAUAGGUUAAGAAUUUCUUAAAAAAGCAUUGACGCCGUUCUCUGAGUUUAUAUCUGUGUUAGUUUCCUUAAAAUUAUAUCGUUAACGCGUCAGGACUGUGCAUUGGGAAAAAUAUCUUCAGGGGCUUGUGAACUUCUAGAUCUAGCUUAAUAUGUACCCUUAGCUGUUUAAGAAGUUAAAAUGCAGACUUUUGAAGCAUAUUCUCCACUAUUAUAUCUAAAUCUACAUACAUCGUAAGGUGAAUUUCAUGAGACAAUAACGACUCACCUUUUUGCGUAAUGCAGCUUUGGAGAUGAACACGUACAGAGAAAAUGGCUUUAUUUGAUGGCUGCCGACACGGAAUUUAUAAACACCUACGCAUAGUAAAACGAAUGUUUGUUUUGUACAUACCAAACAUCUUCCAUAAAAAAAAUUGCUUAAAAGGAAUGUAGAGACAACAUAUGGUUUAUUUAUACGUUAAACGGCACGUCGCCACCCGGGAACAUUUGAUGUGCAGUUCAAAAAGCUAUUUUAAAACACAGACGCGAUAUCAUUCAGCUUCUUGAAAGUUCUUAUUAGCAACAAUUAUUCGCUAUGCCAUCAUAUCAAGUCUCGAAAUAAAAAAAGGUGUGAAGAUACUUGCCGACAACUUGCUCUUUGUUUUUAUCGAAUGUAAUCUUUGAUAUCAAGAUUCUUUCCACGUUGGAGAAAAUAUGAAAAAGAAAUUAACGGUUGAGUCGUGCAUGCAAAGUGUCGCAAUUAAACAUUGUUUAUUUUGGUCAAUUAUAUAAAAUGUUUUUGA